AUCUAUAUAAUGGUCAAGUUGGAGCAAUUUCUUUCACAAAACUAUUGAUUGCAACUCAGCUUUGAACUUCAUAUUCUAAAUUAGUGGAUUCUCCUCUCUUUUCCAACCAAGAGAUCCACAAGAUCUUUAAAUUUUCAAUUUAACCAUUAGAACCCAUUUUAGUGAUGAAUCUAAGCUUGAUUUGCUAAUAUGGGGUAUUCUCCUUGUCAUCAUGAAAACAUGCGGCUUGCUCUUCAAUCAAGUGCGCUUGCACUGCAAGUGCACGAUGAGGUGUUCAUGUCAAGAAAAGGGCGACAUAAUGAACACAAACGGAAAUGUUGGGAGCAACUCCAGGGAGGAGUGACUUCAAGCAAAUGGUUUUAGCUAUCAGAAACAAUGAUGAGAGGAGGAACAAGGACCUGGAAAUGGAAGGUGAUACUAUAUGAGCAUUGUAAUUAACUUGAAAUAAAUUUUCCUAUCUAUGCCUCUUUUCAAAAGUAGGGGGAAUUUCAGUUUUCCCUAAAAACAAUCACUAUUAUGUCUCUUGAGGAAAUCUUGAAAUUUAUUAUGGCUGUCUUAGGAUAGAAUGGAAGUUACAUUGCUGAUACUAAAAUUUUUGACUUGAAAGACAUUAUAUUUUUUUUUAACUUCCAAAA
Malania oleifera is the source of this 635-nucleotide long non-coding RNA. RefSeq lists it as uncharacterized. The record is from RefSeq and is a predicted model, not a curated record. Lineage: Eukaryota; Viridiplantae; Streptophyta; Magnoliopsida; Santalales; Ximeniaceae. The transcript is spliced from 3 exons.